CACUCCUACGGGAGGCAGCAGUGGGGAAUUUUGGACAAUGGGCGAAAGCCUGAUCCAGCAAUGCCGCGUGAGUGAAGAAGGCCUUCGGGUUGUAAAGCUCUUUUGUCAGGGAAGAAACGGUGAGAGCUAAUAUCUUUUGCUAAUGACGGUACCUGAAGAAUAAGCACCGGCUAACUACGUGCCAGCAGCCGCGGUAAUACGUAGGGUGCAAGCGUUAAUCGGAAUUACUGGGCGUAAAGCGUGCGCAGGCGGUUUUGUAAGUCUGAUGUGAAAUCCCCGGGCUCAACCUGGGAAUUGCAUUGGAGACUGCAAGGCUAGAAUCUGGCAGAGGGGGGUAGAAUUCCACGUGUAGCAGUGAAAUGCGUAGAUAUGUGGAGGAACACCGAUGGCGAAGGCAGCCCCCUGGGUCAAGAUUGACGCUCAUGCACGAAAGCGUGGGGAGCAAACAGGAUUAGAAACCCUAGUAGUCCCA
This 472-nucleotide ribosomal RNA is filed under the name uncultured organism. RNAcentral's name for it is "partial 16S ribosomal RNA". It matches the Rfam family "Bacterial small subunit ribosomal RNA", at positions 334 to 797 of the family's 1533-position model. The record is from RNAcentral.